RNAcentral lists this ribosomal RNA (460 nucleotides) under uncultured bacterium. RNAcentral's name for it is "partial 16S ribosomal RNA". It matches the Rfam family "Bacterial small subunit ribosomal RNA", at positions 338 to 795 of the family's 1533-position model. The record is from RNAcentral.
CCUACGGGUGGCAGCAGUGAGGAAUAUUGGUCAAUGGGCGCGAGCCUGAACCAGCGAAGUAGCGUGAAGGAUGACUGCUCUACGGGUUGUAAACUUCUUUUAUAAAGGAAUAAAGUGAGGCACGUGUGUCUUUUUCUAUGUAUUUCAUGAAUAAGGAUGGGCUAACUCCGUGCCAGCAGCCGCGGUAAUACGGAGGUUCCGAGCGUUAUCCGGAUUUAUUGGGUUUAAAGGGAGCGUAGAUGGUUUGUUAAGUCAGUUGUGAAAGUUUGCGGCCCAACCGUAAAAUUGCAAUUGAUACUGGCAGCCUGGAGUACAGUUGAGGUAGGCGGAAUUCGUGGUGUAGCGGUGAAAUGCGUAGAUAUCACGAAGAACUCCGAUUGCGAAGGCAGCCUACUAAACUGCCACUGACAUUGAUGCUCGAAAGUGUGGGUAUCAAACAGGAUUAGAUACCCGGGUAGUC